This is an RNA transcript of Rattus norvegicus (Norway rat), 7914 nucleotides long. It is a transcript of the gene named NHL repeat containing 2, with no coding region annotated. The record is from RefSeq and is marked validated. NCBI's taxonomy places the organism in Eukaryota, Metazoa, Chordata, Mammalia, Rodentia, Muridae.
AUGGCGGUCCCCGGAGCGCGCGGCGCGAGUCUCUCGGGUCUUCUGCCCGCGCAGACCUCUCUAGAGUACGCCCUGCUGGACGCCGUCACCCAGCAGGAGAAGGAUGACCUGGUCUAUCAGUAUCUGCAGAAGGUGGACGGCUGGGAGCAGGACCUAGCGGUGCCUGAGUUUCCGGAAGGACUAGAAUGGCUGAAUACAGAAGAGCCUUUGUCGAUUUACAGAGACCUGUGUGGGAAAGUGGUCAUCCUCGACUUCUUCACUUACUGCUGCAUCAACUGCAUCCAUGUGCUGCCCGAUCUCCACGCCCUGGAGCGCACGUUCUCUGACACAGAUGGCCUUCUGAUUGUCGGUGUUCACUCAGCUAAGUUUCCAAAUGAAAAGGUCCUGGACAACAUCAAGAGUGCUGUCCUUCGGUACAACAUCACCCACCCUGUGGUUAACGACACAGAUGCUAGCCUUUGGCAGGAGCUUGAAGUCUCCUGCUGGCCAACACUGGUCAUACUGGGACCCCGUGGAAACCUGCUGUUUUCUUUGAUUGGAGAGGGUCACAAAGAUAAACUGUUUUCAUAUACAUCUAUUGCUUUAAAGUAUUACAAAGACAGAGGACAGAUCAGAGAUGGAAAAAUUGGGAUAAAACUCUUUAAAGAGUCUUUGCCGCCUUCACCAUUGCUGUUCCCUGGCAAAGUAGCCGCAGACCCUACUACUGGUCGGCUGGUGGUAGCAGACACCGGGCACCACAGGAUCUUGGUUCUUCAGAAGAACGGGCAGAUUCAGUACAGUAUUGGAGGACCUAAUCCUGGAAGGAAAGAUGGGGUGUUUUCAGAGUCGUCUUUUCAUUCUCCACAGGGUGUAGCUAUCGCAGAUAAUGUCAUCUAUGUGGCCGACACUGAAAACCACCUUAUAAGAAAGAUAGACUUAGAAGCUGAGAAGGUGAGCACUGUAGCUGGCAUCGGUGUUCAAGGGACAGAUACAGAAGGCGGUGAGGAGGGAGACAAACAGCCCAUCAGCUCCCCGUGGGACGUUGCACUUGGGACCUCAGGUUCAAAGGUCCAAAGAAAUGACAUCCUGUGGAUAGCCAUGGCAGGGACUCAUCAGAUAUGGGCCUUCCUCCUGGACUCUGGCACACUGCCAAAGAAAAGUGACCUAAAGAAAGGAACCUGCCUCCGUUUUGCUGGAAGUGGAAAUGAAGAGAACCGAAACAACGCAUAUCCUCACAAGGCGGGCUUCGCCCAGCCAUCAGGCCUCGCUCUCGCUCCAGAAGAGCCCUGGAGCUGCCUCUUUGUGGCUGACAGCGAGAGCAGCACUGUGAGGACUGUCUCGCUGAGAGACGGAGCCGUGAAACACCUCGUUGGCGGAGAGCGAGACCCCAUGAAUUUAUUUGCUUUUGGUGAUGUUGAUGGAGCAGGCAUCAGUGCGAAGCUUCAGCACCCACUUGGGGUUGCAUGGGAUGAGAAGAGGCAUCUGCUCUAUGUGGCCGACUCCUACAAUCACAAGAUUAAAGUUGUGGAUCCAAACACAAAAGUCUGUACAACGUUAGCAGGCACUGGAGAUGCGAAUGACGCCAGUUCCAGUUUUGCGGAGUCGGCCUUUAAUGAGCCGGGAGGCUUGUGUAUCGGUGAGCGUGGUCGGCUGCUCUAUGUAGCAGACACUAAUAAUCACCAGAUUAAAGUGAUGGAUUUAGAAGCAAGAACAGUUUCUGUGCUCCCUGUCUUCAAGUCUGACAGUGCUGUGGUAGACGGCUCCUUCCCUAGAGAGAAACAGAAGACAGUGCCCAAAGUGCCGAAGUCCGCCCCAAAUAUCAGCCUCCCCCCUGUGACAGUGCAUCCGGGCCAGGCUCUGCAGCUCGGGCUCCGGCUAGAGCUUCCGCCAGGAGCAAAGCUGACAGAAGGUGCCCCCAGCGGCUGGUUCCUGAAAGCUGAAGGCAAUGAAUGGCUUCUUCAGGAACAGAUCCCAUCUGGAGACAUAGAGAAUAUUUCCAAUCAGCCGGCAAUCUCCCUGCAGAUCCCUACUGAGUGCUUGUCCCUGGAGGCCGUGGUGUCUGUCACCGUGUUUCUUUAUUACUGCAGUGCUGACAGCAGUGCAUGUAUGAUGAAGGGAGUUGUGUUCAGGCAGCCUUUGCAGAUAAACAGUGUCCAGCCAGCGUGUGCAGCUCCUGUGGAGCUCACGUACGCAUUCUAGAGCGCUGGCCAGCAGCCAGCAGCACAGGCCUGUCAUCCUGCCACCUAUCAUUUACGGAAGAAGCGUUAUAGAAACCCAUUGCUCAGUUGUAACAACUGACACCACAAUAAAGCUGUCCUCCUUAUUAGUAUUUUAAUUGCAAACCAAUUCCUUCAUUUGAGCAGUGUGCUGUCCAAGUCAUUGACCAUCGUUUAAGCACGGCACUCUAAACUCUGCAGUUAUCUGACCCGAGGUGACACUCCAUGCUGUAUCAGAGGACAUUAUAUUUGUAGUCAAAACUAAUCAUGCCCGAUAUGUUAGAUAGCCUCUAUGCCUUUAUCAGAGAAAAAGCCAUUUCACGGAUAACUUUCCAGUGACUUGGGAUGGGCCUGAGCUCUGCACCUUGGUGUCAGGACACCUGCUUAGCCGGCACCAAGAGCGCACAUGCGGUAGAAGCUUCUCUCCUGUGACUUUUCUCACCUGAGAUUUUUUAAAAGAGAGUUUUAAUCUAUUUUUAUUAUAAAUUAUUUGUUUUCACAUUCCAUUAUUAAUGCCUUAUAACUUUAUAUAAAAAAAGAAAAAUAUAUAGGAUUUCUAAGGGCAUGCCGACCACCCCUUGACUAUGUAAUGAGCAUAUUCCUAGCAGGCAAAGCCUAGAUCCCCGUGCUGACUUAGGGGUGUCGGAGACUGCUGUGCUGCUGUGUGUGAUGGUUUAUUGUAAUGGUUGAGCGUGAGGUAAAUGAGUAUUGUGUUAUUUUGGAAAUUUACAUUUCAGUUUUAAGAGUUAAGUAGCAGAAUUGUUGGGUUUAAGACUUUUGUUAUUGUUUUGGUUUCCGUAUUUAGAAUUUAAAUUAUGAUCAUUCUGAUAUUUUUGAAAAAUCACAUAUAAACCUUCAAUUUGCUAUUGUCAAUGUAAAUAUUUUAAUUUAAUUGAUGGGUGUAGUUUUACUAAUAUACCUCCAUCUAAAAUAUUAGGGCUGAAACAGUGAUUUACUGAUACUGUUUUGAUAUUUGUUUUCUUUAACCCCAUAAGAAACAGCACUGGGAGGGAUAUUGGAGAGGUUUGGUUUUCAUUUACUGUAAUUAUCAGAGAUUAUUGUAACCAUUUAAAAGCCUUGUUUUUAUAAAACUGAGUUGACAUAGUUUUUACUAAGAUUACAGGAUUUCAGAAACAUUUGAGCCUUGCCUAUAAAUCAGUAAGUGUCUGUACACACUGCCUCCUGCCUUCCAUGGACGUUCUAGAUCGGGAGUAUAGUCAUUUAAGUACAGUCUACCUAUUUAUUGAUUGUUUUUUGAAGUAGUUUUUCAUAGGCAACAUUUGCUUGUUUUAUUAUUCAGUUAGCUAAAGAAAAAUCUGAAGUAAAAGCUUCAUGACUUUAAUUAGUAACAUGCAACUCUUUUCCAGGAGCAGGGCGGUUGUAAAGUGGAAGUGACCGCGUUGAGAGUCACACACGGUCACGUCAGAAACCUUUGUUUCUAGAACCAACCAGAGCAGAGGAUGUGCAGCUGUAGUGUACUGUGCUGGCCCGUGGUGGGGGAGGUGCCGUGGAGUAUGUCAGCCGUGUUUGCUUUGUAGUCCUCAUUUCCAGUUGGACAGGGACCCUGCUUGAGUCUUCAGUGACCGAGAGUACCUUGAGGAUGCACAAUGGCGCACCCCACACACCCGUGCCUCCACACUGCUGGCUACAUAGAAGGUGUUGGACCUAGAAAAUCCAUGGUGAGCCGAGUACAUGGUUUCCUAGAAUCAGGAGCGACACAAAUGUCUGACAAAAAGAAACCCUGCAGUGUUUAGUUGUAACGCUUCUGGAGCUGCAGCCACCUUCUGCUUUCUCUGAGAGCCUUUAGUUCUGUGACCUGUCUGCUUGGGACUCAUACCACUAAGAGAAGUUACUUGGGCCUGUUUCUGCAGUGUAGGAAAUCUGGGGGACAUAGUGAAAAUGUAUACCUAUAGCCUUUCCACAUAUACAGAAUUGACUUUUUAUCUAUUGGAAAGUCUGCAGCUUAGCUGUUGCCUUUGCCAUGGUGAUGUUUAAGACCAGUCACCAAAGACUUGAGUUGUUAACUCAUUUGGAAGAUGUUUUCUUUGGCAUGUGCAGGGGCCCUGGGUUCAGUCCUCCGGGGGAACAAUUAAGUCAUGAAAAGCUAAGUUUUGUAGUGAGCAGUGUUGUAAAGCCACGUGCAGGGACCGUGUCACUGAAGCUCUAAAUGAGGAAGCUCGUGCUGUCUCCUGAGCUCUGCCUCUGUGUUCUCAGUGCUCAGACUUUAGAGAGCAGUCUAAGCUUCUCAAACACAGUGAGAUGAUCUGAGUUGUAAGCACUAACUCAGAGCUUUUCUAGCACCACUUCUGUUAUCAAAGAUGGGGUCUGCUCUAGAGUCAGUGCUUCUGUUAACCAGCUUCCUUUACAGUUGGAGUUGGUGAGGACAGGGUAGUCACGGUGCUUCAUUGUGUAGCACGGUGUAGCGGCAGGAGUGUGGACUCUAGCUGGGUUCCACCCUGUAGAGCAGGGCUGCUGUCCCAAACCUGGGCUUGCUGCCAAGCUGCGGUGAAAUGCCCACACGGCAUUUAGCACAGAGUAAUUUAUGAACUGCAACUUAUCAGUUUAGUUACUAAUAAUGACAGUAAUUUAUGGCCACAGACAUGGACUUGACUUUUUUUUUUACAACUCCAAUUUCUAAAGCAAAAUAUUUCUCUACCAUUUGACAUGUUAGUAGUCCCCGUAGUAGCUCAAGAAGAAAAAGAACACUUUAUGGUAGAAUGUGUUAACCAUUUCAUAAACAGUAUUGUUUAUAAAGAGGUACCUCUCUACUGUGUUGAAGUAUUUAAAAAGACCUUCUGGAACUUCAGUGAAUAAGCUUUUUCAUAGAGGAUCCAGACAGCUGUGACACACCACACUCUUAACAACUGAUACAAGAAUCUUCAAAUUACAACCUGUGUAUCCGGGAUGGUUCCCCUACCCUGGGGCGGUGCUCUCUGCAGUCUUCAAAGUACUUGAGAAAAGUAUUACAGACUAGGUAGGAGUGUAUGUUCCAGAAGAAGAAGCUGCUUUGGCAUGUUGGUAGCCUGUCUGGAGGUCAGGAAGCCCUGGGAUAGUGUCCAGUACCUAGAACAGGACCUGGUACGCAGGGUUGCUGGUUGUCCUCGCUGACUAAAGUGCGACUAGUGAGCCACAGAGCUUGACCGAGGCUCUCCUACAAAAAAGUGGGAACCUACCCCAGGGCUUCAAGACAAGAGCAGGAUACUUACAUUUAUCGAGUCACCUGCCGGUGCUUUCCCAAGUACUUUGUGUGCUGACCACAUGCAGUCCUCACAGCAGCCUUAGGAUGGGGGAUGGUCCUUCUCCUGGAAGCCAGGCUUGAGCAGUUACCUCAGCAAUCAAAAGCGUGCCCUGAGGAGGUGACAGAGCCUAGACAGCCCAGGCAGUGCCCCACUGCCUGCUCUGUUGUCUCUCAGACAUUCUAGCUCACAUAGUUCAGACGUUUAUGCAGUGACUUAUCAGUCCAGAGGAUUCCAGGAACCCUGAGAAUGAUUGUGAAAUUCAUCUCAACUCAUUACAGCCAUUUGACUUACAUGACUUCUCCUAGAUGCUUAUCAUCUGGGCCUCGGAAUGGCAUAUAUAAUCAUUGGUUCCCAGAGGAUUGUCUGUGCCCUUAAUUUCAGGGACUGUCCAGUUUUUUCUUGGCAGGAAUAUGUGUAAACACCCCAGUCAGCUCAACGGGACUGUCCUGAAGAACAUGUUAUAAAGAGCACGGCUGGUGCAGGCCCCGAGGAGGCUGCCCAUACCUGACACAGUGCUUCGUGAGCCAGUGCCGAGUGGCAGAGCACAGUCUUCUGCCUUCCUUCGUCCCCAGUGGCUGUGUGCAGGCAUCCUAGUGACUCAGGUGUUGUUCCUGAAGUCAGUGUGGCAGUGUGAGACAAAAUGCUGUACCUAGGCCGUGGUGGUUUUUAGAAGCAUCCCAGUGCAGUGUCCAUCUGUUGUGAAGGAGUGUGGUCGUGAAGCAGCACUGCGGUCCACUGAGGAGCACAAAAGCCUGGGUCAGAAAUGCCAUCUGAACCUGACAGCAUGACAGCAUCACAUACUUAAUGUGGACCUCAGUGCUAAUCACCAAGAUUGCUUUUCCACCUGUGAAGAAUUAGCACUCACCCGAGUCACUCUUCCACCCUGGCUUAAUUCAGUUUGCUUUUCUCCAGUUUGUUUGCAAUAGGGUAACAGACAGAGUGAUCGUAAACGUUAGAGGCUUGGUAAUCAAGCCAUGUGGCAUUCUGUGGCUAAUCAACCUUGUCACCUGCUUGUGCUGACUUGUGUAGACUGGUGCCUCAGGUCUCGGGUGGCUACUGUGAGCACACAGGCUGGGCCGAGUAGGACACAGCCCUGCCUGCCAGCUCUCCUAGGUUAGCUUUUGCCAUAGUGAGGGGCUUGGUUUAAUCAUUGUCAGGGUUAGAGUUGAAAAGCUAAAACCCUGGUUGCUUGUGGAAUGUGCGGCCGGGUGUAGUUACUCAUUGUCUGCUGUGUCCUUUCCUCCCCUUGUGUGUCACUCCUGUGUGUGUGGACACAGCUUUCCGCAGCCUCCUGACCCACAGGAGAGUACUUUCCAAUACACUCCUCCCUGUGCCCAUCUCAGCCUGGGGUUAGAAAUGAACACUGAACCAACAGACUACACUCCUGUGUCUGGCCUGGCUCAGAAGUGGGUGUGACCAAAACGGCUGUUAAGUAUGGUGCUCACAGGUGGCUUCGUCUCAGCUUUCCUCACGAGAUAACAACAGGGAUGUGAAGAUCCACCCUGAGAUAUGGACAUUCUAAGGAGAGGUUUACCUCUCGGUACCUAGUUUCAUGAGAGAAUAUGUUGAGAUAAGUAAGAUAUAACAAUCAAUACAUCACACCAAUGGGGGUGAAAAUGCGUAAGUUCCUAACGUAGCCAUUCAGGUAUCUUCUAUUUUAAAGACUGCUUGUCUCUAUUUUUACUUCCACUAGAAACAUAAGGUAGUCUUGUUUGCGCAGAGUUGGAAUUUACUGUUGGCGCCUGCCUGUGAUGUCAUCAUUGAAAGCUACCUGCAGACAUGAGCCAGAGCCCCGCCCCACUCAGCACCAUGGCAGAAACAGCUGCAGCUCCUGCAGAGCCCUGGCUGAGGAGCUGGGGUCCUCGGGAACUACAGAUGGGGAGCUCGCUGCAGUGGUUGUUUUUCUAAAAUCCCUAGUAAUCUCUCAGUUUUCUAUAGCAAGGAACAGGACCUGUGUGAAGUAAGGCUUCCUCGUUGUAUGCAGGCUGAUAGAGCUCUAGGUCCUCUGUAGGAGACACGGUUACUGUCAUUACUCGUGUCCGUCUGUCUGUCACUCCUUCAGGGUGUGCCCUAUAAAAUCAUGUUAGGGACUCUUCCCAUCUUGUGUGGUAAAUCAUGUAAUUUAAUCUGUGAGUCUAAGGUGAUCCGCCAUGACGACUUUGUGCCUGAACAGUGCCGUGAAAAUCCAGUAUAAGAGUUAGUCCUGAAAGGACUUACUAGCGAUGCAUUCUAGAGUGUUUGUAGAUGGAGUAAUAUAUUUUUAUGCAGUGUAUUUUACACUUAUUUCCAGACCAAACUCUGGAGUGGCUUCUUUUUCAAGUGCAUGACCGGGGGAUAAGACCUGUGGGCUUCGCAUCUCAGGAGGAGUGUGGAGCGGAGGGUCUGGGAAACGCGAGUGUCCACUGUACUUGCAAAUCUAAAGCUCUCCCAAGGCUUUGUACACUCUUUUUCAUGAAAUAGAUUAAAUAUUUUUCUCCAAA